GGAAAAAGUGUUUAUGUCAAGGGAAAUGGUGGAUCUUUAUGGACUAACAGCUAAGUUACCUCUCGCGCGUUUAACAGGAGGUAGAAUUCAUGAAGAUGGACAUCUCCAAAGGAAAGCUGCUAGAGUCUUGUUACUUAUCGAACGUCAACCUAGAUCAUCCAGAUCUCUCAUUGCAGGUAUAUCCGGUUAAGAAAAGCGUUGUCUAAAGUCGAAAAGUAUGGCCUUUGAUCUAAAGGCCACACUUUCCUGGUGUUGCUUUUAAAGGCCUAAUGUG
This 274-nucleotide unclassified non-coding RNA is filed under the name Hevea brasiliensis (rubber tree). Lineage: Eukaryota; Viridiplantae; Streptophyta; Magnoliopsida; Malpighiales; Euphorbiaceae. The record is from RNAcentral.